This is a long non-coding RNA of Sinocyclocheilus rhinocerous, 508 nucleotides long. RefSeq lists it as uncharacterized. Lineage: Eukaryota; Metazoa; Chordata; Actinopteri; Cypriniformes; Cyprinidae. The record is from RefSeq and is a predicted model, not a curated record. The transcript has 3 exons.
AUGCUUUGGUGCGCUGGAUGUCAAUUCUGAAUAAUGUAGCUGAUCAGUUAUGAUCCUGCGAGCACAUCGCCUGGGCGGCAGAUGCAGAGCUCAUCAAAACCAAAUCUUACAGGUGGUGGGUGCUGAGCACUGGCCUGUGGGGCUUAUCACUCAUCCUCAACAUACUCGGAUCCAUUAGGUCCAUCCUGUUUCUUAAGAGAAAAGCGCAGACGUGUCAAAGGUCAGGUUCAGCUGAGAGCAGGGAGGAAGCAUUUCUCAGGAAGCUGCGCUCCGGAGGCAGAUCCGAGGGGAAGUGUUCAGUAUCCUGAGCAGUUUGGCAGAUCUCGGCAAUGCCAUUCAUUGGAUGCUGCCUGGAUUUCUGUGGGCUGGACGGUUUCCUCCAUGGCUGGUGGGACUGAUGGGAACGACCUCCUCACUGAUAGGCCUUCUACCGAUCAGCUCUGGUGAUCAAGGACUUGCAAAUUUGCAGAUUUCCUCUCAGACCUAUUGGUUACUGUUGAUAAAGUGC